GACGAACCGUGCGAACGUUGUUCGGAAUCACUGGGCUUAAAGGGCGCGUAGGCGGCUGCGCAAGUCCGGGGUGAAAGCCUCCAGCUCAACUGGAGAAGUGCCUUGGAAACUGUGCAGCUCGAGCGAGGUAGGGGUGAUGGGAACUUCCGGUGGAGCGGUGAAAUGCGUUGAUAUCGGAAGGAACGCCGGUGGCGAAAGCGCAUCACUGGGGUAACACUGACGCUCAUGCACGAAAGCGUGGGGAGCAAACAGG
RNAcentral lists this ribosomal RNA (253 nucleotides) under uncultured bacterium. RNAcentral's name for it is "partial 16S ribosomal RNA". It matches the Rfam family "Bacterial small subunit ribosomal RNA", at positions 524 to 776 of the family's 1533-position model. The record is from RNAcentral.